AUUUUUUGUCAUUGCAUAUUGUCUCCGUUGAAUGAAAUUUAUGUCCUUGAGCCAUGUCAGAUUACAUGCUUUUUGUGAACACCAUUACUUAUAAGUAUCCAUCUCAUUAUGUAUCAGGUUCUGAGAUUUAUUAGGAAACAUUGAUGAAGGCACUUGCCAAACAUUUUGGUGCUAUACUACUUGUUGAUUUGUUGCUAUUGCCGGACAUACUGAGAACUUCAUGAAUACCUUAAAUAGUGAUAUUUCUGUGUUGAUUUUGUUUGAAACAAAAUUGUAUGUGGCUGUCCAUGCACACACGGUAUUCAAUUUUUUAUAUAGUGUAGAAGUGGUGUGGAAGUUAAAGCAUCUGUGACUGCAUGUGGAUAUAUUUUGUCAACCCAUGUAACAUUGCCUUUAAACAUGAUUUAGGAUUUUCAUUAUGUGCAACUCUGCCCAGAUUGAGUACCAAGUUGUUUGUUUCGUGCCUAGGUGAGGUCAUUAUGGCGGUACUUGAUGCUCUAAUGUUCAUCUGUGUUAUGGAGUUGGUUCUUUUGAAGUUAAAAGUAGUUGUAUGUUCGUACGAUGCUCUUCUCAGGUUUUAAGCCUAGGUGAAGGCAUAACAUGUGGUAAUGUAUGUUCUUUUCGAUCUGCCUGCGGCUGGUUUUUUACCUCUUCUAGGUUGUUUUGCGUAUUGUGGUUUCCCUUCAUUCCACAUGGUCUAUGAGUUGCGAGGAUUUAGGGUCUAGGAACUGACAGGCUCUUGUUUCUGUUGCUGAUUAGAGCUUUGGUUAAGGAUUGCAACCGGAGGAGCCGGAGAACACGACCCCUGUCCUAUGUGCGGCCAUAUCCCCCAUGGCUUCUACAAGGACCAUAUCCCCCAUGGUUUUUAGGGGACUCUUUUGAAAGGCAUGUGUGUACAGAACACAUGUUUCAUCGUCUUCUCUUUUUUUCAUGAGUUGUUGAACAGAUCUUAUGAAGCUUGAUUGAUAGUGUUUCAACUCAGAUGAAGUGUUCUGGAUGAUCAGUUUUGCAGAUCCUGGAGAUCAUUAUACCUUCUGUACAAUGCACCGUUCGGGAGUGUUGCAUGCCUUUGUAUUGUGUUCCUGAACCUUGCUAAGUUUGUCCAUGUCCAAGUCUUCUGUUCUAA
Triticum aestivum (bread wheat) is the source of this 1126-nucleotide long non-coding RNA. RefSeq lists it as uncharacterized. The record is from RefSeq and is a predicted model, not a curated record. The transcript has 2 exons. Lineage: Eukaryota; Viridiplantae; Streptophyta; Magnoliopsida; Poales; Poaceae.